This 75-nucleotide transfer RNA is filed under the name bacterium. RNAcentral's name for it is "tRNA-Lys". It matches the Rfam family "tRNA". From Rfam's summary of the family: Transfer RNA (tRNA) molecules are approximately 80 nucleotides in length. RNAcentral also lists the same sequence under 2 other names. The record is from RNAcentral.
GGGGGCGUAGCUCAGUGGUAGAGCACCUGGCUUUUAACCAGGGUGUCGUGAGUUCGAUCCUCACCGCCCUCACCA